UACGUAGGGGGCAAGCGUUGUCCGGAUUUAUUGGGCGUAAAGAGCGUGUAGGCGGCCAGGUAGGUCCGUUGUGAAAACUGGAGGCUUAACCUCCAGCGGUCGAUGGAAACCAUCUGGCUAGAGUCCGGAAGAGGAGAGUGGAAUUCCUGGUGUAGCGGUGAAAUGCGCAGAUAUCAGGAAGAACACCUAUGGCGAAGGCAGCACUCUGGGACGGUACUGACGCUGAGACGCGAAAGCGUGGGGAGCGAACAGG
Molecule: ribosomal RNA, 253 nt
Filed under: uncultured bacterium
Lineage: Bacteria
Description: partial 16S ribosomal RNA
Rfam family: Bacterial small subunit ribosomal RNA
Source: RNAcentral